Molecule: long non-coding RNA, 1105 nt
Organism: Jaculus jaculus (lesser Egyptian jerboa)
Lineage: Eukaryota; Metazoa; Chordata; Mammalia; Rodentia; Dipodidae
Exons: 4
Source: RefSeq, a predicted model, not a curated record
CUGCGGGGGUCCCCGGCCUCCGCCGCGCGGCCCGGGUCCCCAGGUCUGAGCUGCGUCCCCACGGGGACAGCUUGCCGAGGGAGAGGAGGCCGGACCCCGCGCCGGCAUCGCGUGACACUCACCUAUGGCGGUCCGCGCCGCCGAGACGAUGACCACGGGGUCCGAGGUUGCGUUCAUCCUGCCGCCACCGCGUCCCGCUCCGCUCUCAGCUCGGCGCAGCCAGCCACUGAGGAGUACUAGGACUAGAGACGACAUGCUCAUCUGAGCAUUCCCUGAAACUUCUGUGAGGAUUUGGCAAACUGUCCAUCCUCCAAUGCUAGACUUUUUUUCUGCUAGAGGCAUGAACAUGAAAGCCAAGCACUCUACCACUGAGCUCCACUCAGAUCACUUGCAAGCAAAUGAAGCAUCCAGUUGUAAGAAAUGAGGAAUACAGACUCCAUGUGUAAAUCCUGUUAUUCACCACAGCCAAUUCAAAAGAAAUGUGAAAACUGGUUUGUUUUUGAAGCCAGAACAAAGCUAAGCUAACAAGAGAACACCAAAAGCCCUUACCAUCCUGGCUGCUUUUGAGCUCCUCACUGUACUUCUUCUGCAAAGCCAGCUCUGCUUCAAGCUGUGCAAUGCGGCCCUGUGACAGCUGCCUUCCAAGCUCUUGGUUCUCCUGGAUAAGCAUUCGACACUUCGCCAUUAACUUCUUGCCUGUUUGGCUGCAAAGGAAAGAGCCAACCAUCACAAAAUGAAGAUAUCCUUGCUCACAAUGAUUACAACAACAUGUGACGUGCAGUCACCGUCGUCUUUUCUGGAGCAUAGCCAUCUUUUGUAUUUCAGUAUUUUACCAGUACAGCAGCAAGAAUGAACCAAAACAAAGUAGCCGAAGUUUCUAUUUUAUCAGUGAGCUAUUUUCAUGCCAAGCUAACAUUUGUACUUCUAGAAGCAGGCCAUGUCACACACACACCUUGGCUGCACCAAUAUUAAUGUAACAUGAAGGUACUAAGCUUUCUGAAACAGCAAGUUCUUAAAAAGGGACAUGUAAUACAAACCACAAGUGUAUGCUUAUUUAAAAUGCUGUAAACAGAUGUAAAUAAAAUUUUUCUUGCUGAGAAAUAUA